AGGGACAGGGAAGGUCUGGCAGCAUCUGGGAGUGCCGGGCUGGGCUGGGCUGGGCUGGGCUGGGCUGGAGCCCAGCCAGUGAGGCACGGACAGGCAGGACAGGUACAGACAGGUACAGGCAGGGAAAAACAGGGACAGGCAGGGAAAAACAAACAGGGACAGGCAGAACAGGGACAGGCAGGGAAAAACAGGGACAGGCAGGGAAAAACAGGGACAGGCAGGUACAGGCAGGGCAAGAAAAGCCCAGCCAGGCCAGAGGGACAGGCAGGGACA
Long non-coding RNA from Poecile atricapillus (Black-capped chickadee), 273 nucleotides. RefSeq lists it as uncharacterized. The record is from RefSeq and is a predicted model, not a curated record. NCBI's taxonomy places the organism in Eukaryota, Metazoa, Chordata, Aves, Passeriformes, Paridae. The transcript has 3 exons.